CCUACGGGAGGCUGCAGUGGGGAAUAUUGGACAAUGGGCGAAAGCCUGAUCCAGCCAUGCCGCGUGUGUGAAGAAGGCCUUCGGGUUGUAAAGCACUUUCAGUGGGGAAGAAAGCCUUGGGGCUAAUACCCUCGAGGAAGGACAUCACCCACAGAAGAAGCACCGGCUAACUCCGUGCGCAGCAGCCGCGGUAAUACGGAGGGUGCGAGCGUUAAUCGGAAUUACUGGGCGUAAAGCGCGCGUAGGCGGUCUGAUAAGCCGGUUGUGAAAGCCCCGGGCUCAACCUGGGAACGGCAUCCGGAACUGUCAGGCUAGAGUGCAGGAGAGGAAGGUAGAAUUCCCGGUGUAGCGGUGAAAUGCGUAGAGAUCGGGAGGAAUACCAGUGGCGAAGGCGGCCUUCUGGACUGACACUGACGCUGAGGUGCGAAAGCGUGGGUAGCAAACAGGAUUAGAUACCCGAGUAUC
This 465-nucleotide ribosomal RNA is filed under the name Vreelandella stevensii. RNAcentral's name for it is "partial 16S ribosomal RNA". It matches the Rfam family "Bacterial small subunit ribosomal RNA", at positions 338 to 794 of the family's 1533-position model. The record is from RNAcentral. Lineage: Bacteria; Pseudomonadati; Pseudomonadota; Gammaproteobacteria; Oceanospirillales; Halomonadaceae.